Molecule: ribosomal RNA, 1347 nt
Filed under: uncultured bacterium
Lineage: Bacteria
Description: bacterial SSU rRNA
Rfam family: Bacterial small subunit ribosomal RNA
Source: RNAcentral
GACGAACGCUUGCGGCGUGCUUAACACAUGCAAGUCGAACGGAAAGGCCCUGCUUUUGUGGGGUGCUCGAGUGGCGAACGGGUGAGUAACACGUGAGUAACCUGCCCUUGACUUUGGGAUAACUUCAGGAAACUGGGGCUAAUACCGGAUAGGAGCUCCUGCUGCAUGGUGGGGGGUUGGAAAGUUUCGGCGGUUGGGGAUGGACUCGCGGCUUAUCAGCUUGUUGGAGGGGUAGUGGCUUACCAAGGCUUUGACGGGUAGCCGGCCUGAGAGGGUGACCGGCCACAUUGGGACUGAGAUACGGCCCAGACUCCUACGGGAGGCAGCAGUGGGGAAUAUUGCACAAUGGGCGGAAGCCUGAUGCAGCAACGCCGCGUGCGGGAUGACGGCCUUCGGGUUGUAAACCGCUUUCGCCUGUGACGAAGCGUGAGUGACGGUAAUGGGUAAAGAAGCACCGGCUAACUACGUGCCAGCAGCCGCGGUGAUACGUAGGGUGCGAGCGUUGUCCGGAUUUAUUGGGCGUAAAGGGCUCGUAGGUGGUUGAUCGCGUCGGAAGUGUAAUCUUGGGGCUUAACCCUGAGCGUGCUUUCGAUACGGGUUGACUUGAGGAAGGUAGGGGAGAAUGGAAUUCCUGGUGGAGCGGUGGAAUGCGCAGAUAUCAGGAGGAACACCAGUGGCGAAGGCGGUUCUCUGGGCCUUUCCUGACGCUGAGGAGCGAAAGCGUGGGGAGCGAACAGGCUUAGAUACCCUGGUAGUCCACGCUGUAAACGGUGGGUACUAGGUGUGGGGUCCAUUCCACGGGUUCCGUGCCGUAGCUAACGCUUUAAGUACCCCGCCUGGGGAGUACGGCCGCAAGGCUGAAACUCAAAGGAAUUGACGGGGCCCCGCACAAGCGGCGGAGCAUGCGGAUUAAUUCGAUGCAACGCGUAGAACCUUACCUGGGUUUGACAUGGAUCGGGAGUGCUCAGAGAUGGGUGUGCCUCUUUUGGGGUCGGUUCACAGGUGGUGCAUGGCUGUCGUCAGCUCGUGUCGUGAGAUGUUGGGUUAAGUCCCGCAACGAGCGCAACCCUUGUUCACUGUUGCCAGCACGUUAUGGUGGGGACUCAGUGGAGACCGCCGGGGUCAACUCGGAGGAAGGUGGGGAUGACGUCAAGUCAUCAUGCCCCUUAUGUCCAGGGCUUCACGCAUGCCACAAUGGCUGGUACAGAGAGUGGCGAGCCUGUGAGGGUGAGCGAAUCUCGGAAAGCCGGUCUCAGUUCGGAUUGGGGUCUGCAACUCGACCUCAUGAAGUCGGAGUCGCUAGUAAUCGCAGAUCAGCAACGCUGCGGUGAAUACGUUCCCGGGGCU